GAACCAGCAACUUGGAGGAAUGUAUAGCAAUAGCUACUUGCAUCAUUAUAAAAAUGAUGCAGGAUCGACUAUGUCGAAUAAAAUUCUAGGUAGAAUUAUGAUAAUGACAUUGUCUGCCUAUGUGUCUUGACCAAAUUACGUGCCAGCAGUCGCGGUAAUACGUAGAAGACUAGUGUUAUUCAUGUUUAAUCGGUUUAAAGGGUACCUAGACGGUAGAUCAAGCCUAAAAUUAAAUGAAGGGACUAAUUUACUAGAGUUACUUAUGAGGGGGUAUUAAAGUACUGCUGGUGUAGAGAUGAAAUUCUGUCAUACCUCUUUUCAAUAGAAAAAUAACGGCACAGGUAUAGGCGAAAGCAUCCCCUUAUGUGAUAACUGACGUUGANGGACGAAGGCUUUGUGUAGCGAACAGGAUUAGAUACCCCAGUAGUCAAAGCAGAAAAUGAUGAAUGUCAUAGAUUAGAUAUAUAAGUUUAUUCUAUAAAUGAAAGUGUAAGCAUUCCACCUCAAGAGUAAUUUGGCAACAUUGGAACUGAAAUCAUUAGACCGUUUCUGAAACCAGUAGUGAAGUAUGUUGUUUAAUUUGAUGAUCCGCAAAAAACCUUACCACAAUUUGAAUAUUUAUAUCUUUUAUUGUUUUCUUUUUAAUUUACUUCGGACAUGAAACAAUAACAGUAGAAAAAGAAAAAAGAGGCAAUAUGAUAUAUUUACAAGCGUUGCACGGCUGUCUUCAGUUAAUGUCGCGAGACUCUGGUUAGUUCCAUUAAAUUAACGUAAACCCUUACUUUAUUUUUAUAUAGAGUAGUUCCCCGCUAUAUUGGAUAUGAU
This 825-nucleotide ribosomal RNA is filed under the name Arctoparmelia incurva. RNAcentral's name for it is "SSU rRNA". It matches the Rfam family "Bacterial small subunit ribosomal RNA", at positions 345 to 1146 of the family's 1533-position model. Lineage: Eukaryota; Fungi; Ascomycota; Lecanoromycetes; Lecanorales; Parmeliaceae. The record is from RNAcentral.